Molecule: long non-coding RNA, 479 nt
Filed under: Actinia tenebrosa (Australian red waratah sea anemone)
Lineage: Eukaryota; Metazoa; Cnidaria; Anthozoa; Actiniaria; Actiniidae
Description: uncharacterized LOC116293662, transcript variant X2
Source: RNAcentral
UUUUUCACGAAGGUUGUUAUUGGUCAUCCGUACCUGUUUUACCUGUUUUCCCUAUGAGAUAAACAAGGUAAUUCCCCUUGAAGAUUGACCCUUAUAUAUUUAGCACUUUCGACCAUCGAUCACCAUUGGCUCUGCACUAGCCGAAUCUGUCGACAAGCUACAAAUCCAGUUUUCUAUCAAAAUGGGUGACAGCGAAAAGCAAGGAAAAAAGAAUCUUACGACAAAAGAUGAUGUUGCAAGGAUCCAGAAGGCCCAAAAGGAUCCGGGACAUACCGAGAAAGGCAGCUAUGUGAGCAGAAUGCAAUCUGCAGCUGAUAAGAGGGAGAACGCGGGGUCCGACGACAAGAAAUGACCUUUGCAACCAAGAAAGAAAAAGUCUAGAUUUUAAUUGUUCUACUAAACACUGCUGUCUAAAGUCUGUUAUACCUGUUAUAACUUAGUUAUGAUAAUUUGAUUAGAGUGCUUUUAGUCUCACUGUU